Molecule: ribosomal RNA, 460 nt
Filed under: uncultured bacterium
Lineage: Bacteria
Description: partial 16S ribosomal RNA
Rfam family: Bacterial small subunit ribosomal RNA
Source: RNAcentral
CCUACGGGUGGCUGCAGUGAGGAAUAUUGGUCAAUGGACGAGAGUCUGAACCAGCCAAGUAGCGUGAAGGAUGACUGCCCUAUGGGUUGUAAACUUCUUUUAUAUGGGAAUAAAAUGUUCCACGUGUGGGCUUUUGUAUGUACCCUAUGAAUAAGGAUCGGCUAACUCCGUGCCAGCAGCCGCGGUAAUACGGAGGAUCCGAGCGUUAUCCGGAUUUAUUGGGUUUAAAGGGAGCGUAGGUGGAUUGUUAAGUCAGUUGUGAAAGUUUGCGGCUCAACCGUAAGAUUGCAGUGGAAACUGGAGGGAUGGAGUGCAGGAGAGGUGGGGGGAAUUCGUGGUGUAGCGGUGAAAUGCUUAGAUAUCAGGAGGAACACCGUUGGCGAAGGCGGCUUACUGGACUGUAACUGACGUUGAGGCUCGAAAGGGUGGGUAGCAAACAGGAUUAGAUACCCAGGUAGUC